UACGGGAAGGCAGCAGUGGGGAAUAUUGCACAAUGGGCGCAAGCCUGAUGCAGCCAUGCCGCGUGUAUGAAGAAGGCCUUCGGGUUGUAAAGUACUUUCAGUCGUGAGGAAGGUGUUAAGGUUAAUAACCUUAGCAAUUGACGUUAGCGACAGAAGAAGCACCGGCUAACUCCGUGCCAGCAGCCGCGGUAAUACGGAGGGUGCGAGCGUUAAUCGGAAUUACUGGGCGUAAAGGGCACGCAGGCGGUUAAUUAAGUUGGAUGUGAAAUCCCCGGGCUUAACCUGGGAAUGGCAUUCAAGACUGGUUAGCUAGAGUCUUGUAGAGGGGGUUAGAAUUCCAUGUGUAGCGGUGAAAUGCGUAGAGAUGUGGAGGAAUACCGGUGGCGAAGGCGGCCCCUGGACAAAGACUGACGCUCAUGUGCGAAAGCGUGGGGAGCAAAC
This 441-nucleotide ribosomal RNA is filed under the name uncultured bacterium. RNAcentral's name for it is "bacterial SSU rRNA". It matches the Rfam family "Bacterial small subunit ribosomal RNA", at positions 340 to 773 of the family's 1533-position model. The record is from RNAcentral.